GAUCAAGCGACUAAGGGCGCACGGUGGAUGUCUUGGCGUCAAGAGGCGAUGAAGGACGUUGGAACCUGCGAUAAGCCAUAGGGAGCUGGUAACCGAGCUGUGAUCUAUGGAUUUCCGAAUGGGGAAACCCACUCUGUUUACAGAGUACUGCACACUGAAUGCAUAGGUGUGUGGAGCGAACCCAGGGAACUGAAACAUCUAAGUACCUGGAGGAAAGGAAAUCAACCGAGACUCCGUAAGUAGCGGCGAGCGAAAGCGGAUAAGGCAAAGUGAACACGUUGGAAUGCGUGGCCGAAGAAGGUGAAAGCCCUGUAGGUAGCCGUUUAGCCAUAGAGUAGCGUCGGGCUCGUGAAACCCGGCGUGAACAUGGGGGGUCCACCCUCCAAGGCUAAGUACUCCUUGACGACCGAUAGUGGACCAGUAAGGUGACUGAACGAUGAAAAGCACCCCUAUUAGGGGAGUGAAAUAGCACCUGAAACCGUGCGCUUACAAGCGGUGGGAGCCCUUCGGGGUGACCGCGUGCUUUUUGCAUAAUGAGCUCGGGAGUUAGCCUCAGUGGCGAGCCUAAGGCCUAUCGGGCCGGAGGCGGAGCGAAAGCGAGUCUGAAUAGGGCGUGCAGUCGCUGGGGCUAGACGCGAAACCCGUGUGAUCUACCCAUGGCCAGGGUGAAGGAGGGGUAAGACCCUCUGGAGGCCCGAACCCGUAUUCGUUGAAAAGAAUUGGGAUGAGCUGUGGGGAGGAGUUAAAGUCUAAUCAAACCGGGAAAUAGCUCGUUCUCUCCGAAAUAACUUUAGGGUUAGCCUCGAGAUGCAAGCAUUGGGGGUAGAGCUACUGGAUGGAUGGUGGGCCCUCACGGGUACCCCAUCCAACCAAACUCCGAAUACCAAUGCCCAAGCCUCGGGAGAUAGACGGCGAGUGACAAUAUCCGUCGUCAAGAGGAGAACAAUCCAGACCGCCGGCUAAGGUCCCAAAUCGAUGCUCAGUUAGGAAGGAAGUCGGAUUGCCCUGACAGCCAGGAUGUUGGCUUAGAAGCAGCCACCAUUUAAAGAGUGCGUAAUAGCUCACUGGUCGAGGAGUCCGGCGCCGAGAAUGAUUGGGGAUAAGCAUCGAGCCGAAGCCGCGGACACGCAAGUGUGGUAGGAGAGCGUUCCUGUCGGCGUUGAAGCCAAUCCGGAAGGGUUGGUGGAGCGUCAGGAAGUGAAUAUCCGAGCUUGAGUAACGAUAAAGCAGGUGAGAAUCCUGCUCGCCGAAAACCUAAGGUUUCCUGGGGAAGGUAAAUCCUCCCAGGGUCAGUCGGGACCUAAGGCGAGGCCGAAAGGCGUAGUCGAUGGACAGCUGGUUAAUAUUCCAGCACCCCGGACAUAGUGCGGAUCGAGAAAACCCUCUGCCUUAUCAGAUUGGUAGGCCGCAAGGCCGUUGGGGGUGGAAUCGGUUCCUAGAAAAGCUAUGUCACUAACGGGCCCGUACCAAAACCGACACAGGUAGGUGGGGUGAAGAACCUCAGGCGCUCGAGAGAACGGUUGUGAAGGAACUCGGCAAAAUUACCCCGUACGUUCGCAAUAAGGGGGCCCUACCCGUAAGGGAGGGCGCAGAGAAAAGGCCCUAGCGACUGUUUACCAAAAACACAGCUCUGUGCUAACUCGCAAGAGGAUGUAUACAGAGUGACACUUGCCCAAUGCCGGAAUGUCACGGAAGUGGGUUAGCUUCGGCGAAGCUCGCGACCCAAGCACCGGUCAAUGGCGGCCGUAACUAUGACGGUCCUAAGGUAGCGAAGUUCCUUGUCGGGUAAGUUCCGACGCGCAUGAAUAGUGUAACGACUUGGGCACUGUCUCCACAACCGACUCGGUGAAAUAGUAGUGGCGGUGAAGAUGCCGCCUACCCGCGGCAAGACGGAAAGACCCCGUGGACCUUUACUGUAGGCUUUUAUUGGUCACGAGCGAUCAUUGCGUAGGAUAGGUGGGAGGCUUUGAAGCCGGCGUUUAGGCGUUGGUGGAGCCAUUGGUGAAAUACCACCCUUUGUUUGUUUGUGGCCUAACCCCGAUUCCCAUGAAGCUGGGCGGGGGACAGUGAGUGCUUGUCAGUUUGACUGGGGCGGUCUCCUCCUAAAGAGUAACGGAGGAGCGCAUAAGGUUGGCUCAGCGCGGAUGGAAACCGCGCAUCGAGUGUAAAGGCACAAGCCAGCUUUACUGCGAGGCCGACGGGCCGAGCAGUUACGAAAGUAGGCCUUAGUGAUCCUGCGGUCCCGUGUGGAAGGGCCGUAGCUCAUCGGAUAAAAGGUACCCCGGGGAUAACAGGCUGAUCGCUCCCGAGCGUCCAUAGCGGCGGAGCGGUUUGGCACCUCGAUGUCGGCUCAUCGCAUCCUGGGGCUGAAGGCGGUCCCAAGGGUUAGGCUGUUCGCCUAUUAAAGCGGUACGCGAGCUGGGUUCAGACCGGCGUGAGCCAGGUCGGUCCCUAUCUGUCGUGGGCGUUCCAGGCUUGAGAGGAGUCAUCCUUAGUACGAGAGGAUUAGGAUGGACACACCCCUGGUGAUCCAGUUGGCCCGCUCGGGCCAUCGCUGGGUAGCUACGUGUGGCAGGGAUAACCGCUGAAAGCAUCUAAGCGGGAAGCCCCCCUCGAGAUGAGGCCUGGUCGCAUUAGCGUGAGACCCCUUGUAGACUACAAGGUUGAUAGGCCACAGGUGUAAGGGUAGAAAUAUCCUCAGCUGAGUGGUACUAACGGUCGAAAGCUUGAUCGC
RNAcentral lists this ribosomal RNA (2734 nucleotides) under Phycisphaera sp. Its description in RNAcentral is "23S ribosomal RNA". It matches the Rfam family "Bacterial large subunit ribosomal RNA". The record is from RNAcentral. Lineage: Bacteria; Pseudomonadati; Planctomycetota; Phycisphaerae; Phycisphaerales; Phycisphaeraceae.